RNAcentral lists this ribosomal RNA (485 nucleotides) under uncultured bacterium. Its description in RNAcentral is "bacterial SSU rRNA". It matches the Rfam family "Bacterial small subunit ribosomal RNA", at positions 30 to 507 of the family's 1533-position model. The record is from RNAcentral.
UUGAACGCUGGCGGCAUGCUUUACACAUGCAAGUCGAACGGCAGCACGGGUGCUUGCACCUGGUGGCGAGUGGCGAACGGGUGAGUAAUGCAUCGGAACGUGCCCAUGAGUGGGGGAUAGCCCGGCGAAAGCCGGAUUAAUACCGCAUACGCCCUUAGGGGGAAAGCGGGGGAUCUUCGGACCUCGCGCUAUUGGAGCGGCCGAUGUCGGAUUAGCUAGUAGGUGAGGUAAAGGCUCACCUAGGCGACGAUCCGUAGCUGGUCUGAGAGGAUGAUCAGCCACACUGGGACUGAGACACGGCCCAGACUCCUACGGGAGGCAGCAGUGGGGAAUUUUGGACAAUGGGCGCAAGCCUGAUCCAGCCAUGCCGCGUGAGUGAAGAAGGCCUUCGGGUUGUAAAGCUCUUUCAGGUGGAAAGAAAUAGCGCUGUUUAAUAGAUGGCGUUGAUGACGGUACCACCAGAAGAAGCACCGGCUAACUACGUG